Long non-coding RNA from Sorex araneus (European shrew), 1530 nucleotides. RefSeq lists it as uncharacterized. The transcript is spliced from 3 exons. The record is from RefSeq and is a predicted model, not a curated record. NCBI's taxonomy places the organism in Eukaryota, Metazoa, Chordata, Mammalia, Eulipotyphla, Soricidae.
AGAGAAGCCGGACCCCACCGCCCGGCCCGGGUCCCGGGAGUUUGCAACAGAAAGUUCUGGCCCUACGCUAAUGAAGUGUACAGCCUGGUGGAUGCAGCGGUCUAAGGGAACGGAAACGUAAAAAUUGAGAAAUGGAUUCAGGGACACUUGGGAGAGCCUUUGCCCAGCAGUAAAUAGCUUCAGGUCAGAGAAAUUCAUCAGUGAGCCCCGGAAGAGAGUAUUGGGGCCCGAUAGUCGCUGAGCUUCAGGUCUUGAAAGUGAUUAGGUGGGAAAAUGUAAUUCAGUGACUGUUUAUGAGAUUAGGGAAUGAAGAUUUUUGACGUAUGAGCACAGCUGUUUUGUGCACAGGACCCCAUUCUAUAGCGGGCACUGCCGACCCGGGCACCGUAUUGGGAAUUGGGCGAUUCUUCACUGAGUGCUCUCCAGGGCGUUCAGCAGCCUCUCUGCGCUCUAUUUCUAAAUGACAGUGGCAUCCAGGGUCACCACCCCCCACUGCCCCAGUGAAGACUGUCAACCAUGUCCUCAGACACUUGGUAAAUGUCCCUGGAAGGAAAUGUGGUUCCCUCGCCCCUGAGCACUGAGAACCACUGAUGCAUAGCAAUGAUUCGAAAAAAAGAUCAUCUUCAGGCCACUGGGACUUGACUACACGCUCUCAAAGACAGAAGUAUGUUCAUGCUGAUAUGAAGACACCAUUGACCUUUUCUCACAAUCCGGGCAUUUGCACUGAUAGCGGGAAAGCAAAGGUGGACUAAACUGCUGGCACCUGCGCAGGAGUCAAGACAAUAAAGCCCCGCUGACCCAGUGGUAGUGUUCACCAGCGCACACUCAUAGGAAGGAAAAGAGGCAGUCACCCCAAAAUGGCCUCUUGGAAGCAGUCAAAAUCAUCUUAUUAAAAUAAUCAUUGAAAUAGUUGGAAAUGAUCGCUCUAGACAAGAACUGAGUGUUGAAAGUCUUGGAGUUAAGUCAACAGGAGAAGAGUCAAGUGAUGUCACGGAUGAGCAUCUGGACGUUAAAGCAUACGAGUCUGGCCAGCUUAUGAGAGCUCAAACCUAUGGCUUUCUGACACUAUACAGGUACUACUUUUUAUCUCUUCUAAGAAUUUUAUAGUCUUAUAUAAACAAAAGUGGCAAUACAUUUUAACCCAAUUGAUUUGACCAAUAAAAAGAUUGUUAUAAAAUUGAAUUUAAGUAAAGCCUCUUCUUUGUGAGAGAACAUUUACAAAUAUAGAUAUCCCCCUUAAGACAAUGCUAGGGAGAGAAAAUGUAUUACAAUUAGCUUUUUAAUAUAUAACAUAAAGUACAUUUAAGGGAAAAAAUACAAAUCUGAAUUCAUAUCAAUUUUGAGCUGUUUCAGUAAACUGCACCAUUUUUUAUUAGUUGGUUAUAAUCUACUCAUAUGUACCUUGGUAUUAAAGACAUUUCUUCCCAUUUCAAAAUAAUAACAAAUGUAAAAAAAAAAACAUAAAAAGUAUGUUUCCUCUAAAUUAUAAUUUACCUCAACUUAACCAAACUAAAUACUUGAGAAGAUAUG